GUCCAAAUUAGCAAUGUUCCCACAGAAAAGGCAGAACAUGGUCUGUCUGUGCCAACCAGUUUUCAACAGGAAUCACAUCCUCUGCAAACAUCUGUUGUUGAAGCAGCCCCAUCUGUUGUGCUUGAUGCCAAGAUGGAUAAACAUCCUCCUGCCCAGAAUAGCACUGUUCAGUCCAAAGAAACCAAAAAGCACUUGCCAGUGCAUACCAGCGUUCAACAAGAAUCCCAACCUCUGCAGACAUCUGUUGUUGAAGCAGCCCCAUCUGCGGUUGUUUCUGAUGUCAAGAUGGAUAAUCCUGUCCAAAGCACUCAAGUUCAGGAUACCAAGAAAUCUAUGGUUAAAGAAGCUCCAGUGAAACCC
RNAcentral lists this long non-coding RNA (360 nucleotides) under Arachis ipaensis. Its description in RNAcentral is "long non-coding RNA (AIPA_LNC000072)". Lineage: Eukaryota; Viridiplantae; Streptophyta; Magnoliopsida; Fabales; Fabaceae. The record is from RNAcentral.